Long non-coding RNA from Pseudopipra pipra, 370 nucleotides. RefSeq lists it as uncharacterized. Lineage: Eukaryota; Metazoa; Chordata; Aves; Passeriformes; Pipridae. The record is from RefSeq and is a predicted model, not a curated record. The transcript has 3 exons.
GUGAUUGACAUAGAGUAUGCAGUGGCUGACACAGAGUAUGCACCGGCUGAUGUAGCGCCUGAAGUACGGAGAUCAUUGGACGAGGAACCUGCAAUUUCAGAGGAAUGGCAACGAGCUGUAAGGUGCCCGAUCUGCAUGGAUUUUUUUUCACAGAUUAUACGAAGUGUCCGACAGGUUGUGUCAACCCAGUGUGGCCAUCUCUUCUGCAGUCGGUGCAUCGCUGUUGCCCUUGAGAAUUCCAGGGCUUGCCCAACCUGCAGAACAGAACUCCCUCCCAGAGACUAUCAUCCCGUUUAUUUCUGAGUAUUUCUGUUUCUCAGGACAGAAGUAUCCCCCCCAGUCAGAUGGAUUUUCGGGGGUAGGUGGCAGA